AGUGAACGCUGGCGGUAGGCCUAACACAUGCAAGUCGAACGGCAGCACAGUAAGAGCUUGCUCUUACGGGUGGCGAGUGGCGGACGGGUGAGGAAUACAUCGGAAUCUACUUUUUCGUGGGGGAUAACGUAGGGAAACUUACGCUAAUACCGCAUACGACCUACGGGUGAAAGCAGGGGAUCUUCGGACCUUGCGCGAUUGAAUGAGCCGAUGUCGGAUUAGCUAGUUGGCGGGGUAAAGGCCCACCAAGGCGACGAUCCGUAGCUGGUCUGAGAGGAUGAGCAGCCACACUGGAACCGAGACACGGUCCAGACUCCUACGGGAGGCAGCAGUGGGGAAUAUUGGACAAUGGGCGCAAGCCUGAUCCAGCCAUACCGCGUGGGUGAAGAAGGCCUUCGGGUUGUAAAGCCCUUUUGUUGGGAAAGAAAAGCAGCAGGUUAAUACCCCGCUGUUCUGACGGUACCCAAAGAAUAAGCACCGGCUAACUUCGUG
This 492-nucleotide ribosomal RNA is filed under the name uncultured bacterium. Its description in RNAcentral is "partial 16S ribosomal RNA". It matches the Rfam family "Bacterial small subunit ribosomal RNA", at positions 29 to 507 of the family's 1533-position model. The record is from RNAcentral.